GACGAACGCUGGCGGCGUGCAUAUUACAUGCAAGUUGAGCGCUGAAGGUUGGUACUUGUACCCACUGGAUGCGCAGCAAACGGGUGUGUAACGCGUGGGGAAUCUGCCUUUGAGCGGGGGACAACCUUUGGAAACGAAUGCUAAUAGCGCAUAAAAACUUUAAACACAAGUUUUAAGUUUGAAUGAUGCAAUAGCAUCACUCAAAGAUGAUCCCGCGUUGUAUUAGCUAGUUGGUGUGGUAAAGGCUCACCAAGGCGAUGAUACAUAGCCGACCGGAGAGGGUGUGCGGCCACAUUGGGAGUGAGACACGGCCCAAACUGCUGCGGGAGGCAGCAGUAUGGAAUCGUCGGCAAUGGACGAAAGUCUGACCGAGAAACGCCGCGUGAGUGAAGAAGGUUUUCGGAUCGUAAAACUCUGUUGGUAGAGAAGAACGUUGGUGAGAGUGGAAAGCUCAUCAAGUGACGGUAACUACCCAGAAAGGGACGGCUAACUACGUG
Molecule: ribosomal RNA, 497 nt
Filed under: uncultured bacterium
Lineage: Bacteria
Description: partial 16S ribosomal RNA
Rfam family: Bacterial small subunit ribosomal RNA
Source: RNAcentral